CAAGGGUGCCGCAGGGUAGCUAUGUACGGACGGGAUAACCGCUGAAAGCAUCUAAGCGGGAAGCCUCCCUUGAGAUAAGCAAUCUUCGAACCGUCAUAGACCAUGACGUUGAUAGGCCGGGUGUGGAAGCGCAGUAAUGUGUGGAGCUAACCGGUCCUAAUAGUUCUUUUCGCGCUUG
This 178-nucleotide ribosomal RNA is filed under the name Erythrobacter sp. HI0037. Its description in RNAcentral is "partial 23S ribosomal RNA". It matches the Rfam family "Bacterial large subunit ribosomal RNA", at positions 2730 to 2925 of the family's 2925-position model. Lineage: Bacteria; Pseudomonadati; Pseudomonadota; Alphaproteobacteria; Sphingomonadales; Erythrobacteraceae. The record is from RNAcentral.